GUAAAGGUUUCGACAGGGAUCUUGAACGUGGAGAAGCUAUCCGAAUGCAAGAGCGUAACUCGGCAAAUUAAAAAUAAACGCUAACGACAACGAAUUAGCAUUCGCGGCCUAAAGCCGCGACGUCGCCCGGAGAGCACCCGCACUUUCCGGAUACGGCGUCGACUUGCGGGAAACGACACGGAUUAAGCUUUGCGUCCGCGGGCGUAUCAUGAAGCUACUCCGACAGUGUGUCUGUCUGUUGAUGCAUUGUCAGGAGAAAAUGGCGUAAGCCGAAACAGCAGACUACGAUAGUAGAAGGACACCGGAUGGGUUUUUGGACGCGGGUUCGAUUCCCGCCUAUUCCA
RNAcentral lists this transfer-messenger RNA (344 nucleotides) under bovine gut metagenome. It matches the Rfam family "transfer-messenger RNA". Rfam says of the family: Bacterial tmRNA, also known as 10Sa RNA or SsrA, is named for its dual tRNA and mRNA-like properties. Its role is to liberate the mRNA from a stalled ribosome. The record is from RNAcentral.